CUCCUCCUACAGGGGCACCACCACCUGCUCCAAGCUCACAGCCCAACCCCUGAGAGAGCUAAGGCACGGCAAUUUGCUGGACCCUCUCACUGGGUACUAGUCCCUGCAUCUUUUGUGGAACCUGUCUUUCCACCACCCCUGCAGCCCUGGUGGGCAGGUCAGUGGGGCACCCUACUCUGGAAGCAGCCAAGACCAAGCUGACUUCUCUCCCUGGAAUUUGAGUGUUGAGCAGAGAGAUGCAGGAACUGAAAAUAACCGGAGCUGAUUCACCCAGGCGUGAACACCCUAAAGAAGGAAACUGUUGUCUGCUCUCUCUAUCCCCUCAGCUGCCCUGGUUCUCAGCCUUCCCAACACCUGUGUUUACUUUGCAUUCCAUUGUAUUAGCAAAUCCAUAUUCUUCCAAUAAAUUUCCUUGACCCUUCCCCAAAGUUACCCUAGAGUCUACUUCCAUUGUUCACAACCAAAAAAAAAAAAAAAAAAAAAAAAAGGUUUAAGUUCUAAUUCUCUCAAUAACUUAUUUUUCUUUUCUUUUCUCUCUCUCUCUUUCUAGGGCUGUACCCGCGGCCUAUGGAGGUUCCCAGGCCAGGGGUCGAAUUGGAGCUGUAGCCGCCAGCCUACACACAGCCACAGCUAUGUGAGAUCCAAGGAUCCAAGCCACAUCUGUGACCUACACCACAGCUCACCAUAACGCCGGAUCCUUAACCCACUGACGAGGCCAGGGAUUGAACCACAUCCUCGUGGAAAGUAGUUGGGUUCCUUACUGCAGAACCUCAACUGGGAACUCCCUGUUUAUCUUUCCUUUAACGAGAUGUUACCCUUCAAUUGAAAGGAAACUGUGUAACAGUGAAACCUCUAAAUAGUUGGUUACAGCAACAAAUAAGAAAGCCUUUUGGGGGGAGGGGCAGGAAGAUGGGGAAGGAUGGGCAAACAAGGAGAGGUCUUUAUACACAGUAUUUUACCAUGGGAUCGUCAUCAUUCGGUUCUAAACAAGGUCGGUCCCCUAGAAGGCAUUUCUUCGGCCUUUGCCUUGCUUCAAGAAGGCCUGAACCUCACCACUCUUUGUCACAGCUCUCCCAGACAAGCACCUGUGCUGCGGGCAGCCCGGCCUCGGGUGCUGUUUCACGAGCUCCCGUCCAUCUUUGGGCUCUGGGCUGAGCGCGCAGCCUCCUGCUGGAGGAAAAGAGACUCCCCCGAGGGAACCAUCGCCUCGCUGCGGAGCUGAUGGAUGCGUUUCCUUGGGCUCGCCAGCAAGGACGCGGCUCCCCAGGGUACCUGGCAGCCGCUGUUUGCCUGGGGACGUUAUUUCUCUGAUUGCGGGAUGGGAACAUAAAGCAAAUUGGAUGGAAGCGGCUGGAAUCUGAGCCCAGGAGCUUCUCAGAUAGGUUUAGGGUGUGUUUAUGAUGCAGGGACCCCCGCGGUGGGGCGUUGUCGGUAAUGGAGUCACCGAGACGGGUGUAGCUGCGCUGGUUAGAGGCGCGGCGCGUUUAAAGAGAGACGAGAUAAUAAUUCCACGAACCCAAAUUUGUCAAAAAGGAAAAGCCUUUCCAGUCACAGCGACUCAAAGGUGUGACUUUUAAAGGCAUCAACCCAGACACACGCAUGACCUUGCC
RNAcentral lists this long non-coding RNA (1610 nucleotides) under Sus scrofa (pig). RNAcentral's name for it is "lncRNA (ENSSSCG00065079301.1)". Lineage: Eukaryota; Metazoa; Chordata; Mammalia; Artiodactyla; Suidae. The record is from RNAcentral.